RNAcentral lists this ribosomal RNA (227 nucleotides) under uncultured bacterium. RNAcentral describes it as "partial 16S ribosomal RNA". It matches the Rfam family "Bacterial small subunit ribosomal RNA", at positions 383 to 607 of the family's 1533-position model. The record is from RNAcentral.
CUGAACCAGCCAAGUAGCGUGAAGGAUGACUGCCCUAUGGGUUGUAAACUUCUUUUAUACGGGAAUAAAGUGAGCCACGUGUGGCUUUUUGUAUGUACCGUAUGAAUAAGGAUCGGCUAACUCCGUGCCAGCAGCCGCGGUAAUACGGAGGAUCCGAGCGUUAUCCGGAUUUAUUGGGUUUAAAGGGAGCGUAGGUGGACUGGUAAGUCAGUUGUGAAAGUUUGCGG